GCGGCAGGCUUAACACAUGCAAGUCGAGCGGAUGAAGGUAGCUUGCUACUGGAUUCAGCGGCGGACGGGUGAGUAAUGCUUAGGAAUCUGCCUAUUAGUGGGGGACAACGUUCCGAAAGGNGCGCUAAUACCGCAUACGUCCUACGGGAGAAAGCAGGGGACCUUNGGGCCUUGCGCUAAUAGAUGAGCCUAAGUCGGAUUAGCUAGUUGGUAGGGUAAAGGCCUACCAAGGCGACGAUCUGUAGCGGGUCUGAGAGGAUGAUCCGCCACACUGGGACUGAGACACGGCCCAGACUCCUACGGGAGGCAGCAGUGGGGAAUAUUGGACAAUGGGGGGAACCCUGAUCCAGCCAUGCCGCGUGUGUGAAGAAGGCCUUUUGGUUGUAAAGCACUUUAAGCGAGGAGGAGGCUACCUAGAUUAAUACUUUAGGAUAGUGGACGUUACUCGCAGAAUAAGCACCGGCUAACUCUGUGCCAGCAGCCGCGGUAAUACAGAGGGUGCGAGCGUUAAUCGGAUUUACUGGGCGUAAAGCGUGCGUAGGCGGCCAAUUAAGUCAAAUGUGAAAUCCCCGAGCUUAACUUGGGAAUUGCAUUCGAUACUGGUUGGCUAGAGUAUGGGAGAGGAUGGUAGAAUUCCAGGUGUAGCGGUGAAAUGCGUAGAGAUCUGGAGGAAUACCGAUGGCGAAGGCAGCCAUCUGGCCUAAUACUGACGCUGAGGUACGAAAGCAUGGGGAGCAAACAGGAUUAGAUACCCUGGUAGUCCAUGCCGUAAACGAUGUCUACUAGCCGUUGGGGCCCUUGAGGCUUUAGUGGCGCAGCUAACGCGAUAAGUAGACCGCCUGGGGAGUACGGUCGCAAGACUAAAACUCAAAUGAAUUGACGGGGGCCCGCACAAGCGGUGGAGCAUGUGGUUUAAUUCGAUGCAACGCGAAGAACCUUACCUGGCCUUGACAUACAGAGAACUUUCCAGAGAUGGAUUGGUG
RNAcentral lists this ribosomal RNA (983 nucleotides) under Acinetobacter radioresistens. RNAcentral describes it as "bacterial SSU rRNA". It matches the Rfam family "Bacterial small subunit ribosomal RNA", at positions 39 to 1016 of the family's 1533-position model. Lineage: Bacteria; Pseudomonadati; Pseudomonadota; Gammaproteobacteria; Moraxellales; Moraxellaceae. The record is from RNAcentral.